AACGAACGCUGGCGGCAUGCCUAACACAUGCAAGUCGAACGAGAUCUUCGGGUCUAGUGGCGCACGGGUGCGUAACGCGUGGGAAUCUGCCCUUUGGUUCGGAAUAACAGUUGGAAACGACCGCUAAUACCGGAUGAUGACGAAAGUCCAAAGAUUUAUCGCCAGAGGAUGAGCCCGCGUAGGAUUAGCUAGUUGGUGUGGUAAAGGCGCACCAAGGGGACGAUCCUUAGCUGGUCUGAGAGGAUGAUCAGCCACACUGGGACUGAGACAGGGCCCAGACUCCUACGGGAGGCAGCAGUGGGGAAUAUUGGACAAGGGGCGAAAGCCUGAUCCAGCAAUGCCGCGUGAGUGAUGAAGGCCUUAGGGUUGUAAAGCUCUUUUACCCGGGAUGAUAAUGACAGUACCGGGAGAAUAAGCUCCGGCUAACUCCGUGCCAGCCGCCGCGUAA
RNAcentral lists this ribosomal RNA (448 nucleotides) under uncultured bacterium. RNAcentral's name for it is "partial 16S ribosomal RNA". It matches the Rfam family "Bacterial small subunit ribosomal RNA", at positions 29 to 522 of the family's 1533-position model. The record is from RNAcentral.